Non-coding RNA from Extremus antarcticus, 78 nucleotides. Lineage: Eukaryota; Fungi; Ascomycota; Dothideomycetes; Mycosphaerellales; Extremaceae. The record is from the annotation of a GenBank genome assembly.
AGCUAAUAAUCACGUGACAGGCGGAAGCGCGCCGGGCUCAUAACCCGGAGGGCAAUGGAUCGAAACCAUUCUCAGCUA